RNAcentral lists this ribosomal RNA (253 nucleotides) under uncultured bacterium. RNAcentral describes it as "partial 16S ribosomal RNA". It matches the Rfam family "Bacterial small subunit ribosomal RNA", at positions 524 to 776 of the family's 1533-position model. The record is from RNAcentral.
UACGGAGGGUGCAAGCGUUAUCCGGAUUCACUGGGUUUAAAGGGUGCGUAGGUGGGUUGGUAAGUCCGUGGUGAAAUCUCCGAGCUUAACUCGGAAACUGCCGUGGAUACUAUCAAUCUUGAAUACUGUGGAGGUAAGCGGAAUAUGUCAUGUAGCGGUGAAAUGCUUAGAUAUGACAUAGAACACCGAUAGCGAAGGCAGCUUGCUACACAGUUAUUGACGCUGAGACGCGAAAGCGUGGGGAGCGAACAGG